RNAcentral lists this ribosomal RNA (301 nucleotides) under uncultured bacterium. RNAcentral's name for it is "partial 16S ribosomal RNA". It matches the Rfam family "Bacterial small subunit ribosomal RNA", at positions 509 to 808 of the family's 1533-position model. The record is from RNAcentral.
CAGUCGCCGCGGUAAUACGUAGGUCCCGAGCGUUGUCCGGAUUUAUUGGGCGUAAAGGGAGCACAGGCGGUUUAGUAAGUCUGAAGUUAAAGGCAUUGGCUCAACCAAUGUAUGCUUUGGAAACUGUUAGACUUGAGUGCAGAAGGGGAGAGUGGAAUUCCAUGUGUAGCGGUGAAAUGCGUAGAUAUAUGGAGGAACACCGGUGGCGAAAGCGGCUCUCUGGUCUGUCACUGACGCUGAGGCUCGAAAGCGUGGGUAGCGAACAGGAUUAGAGACCCCCGUAGUCCCUGUCUCUUAUACA